Molecule: non-coding RNA, 79 nt
Organism: Triangularia verruculosa
Lineage: Eukaryota; Fungi; Ascomycota; Sordariomycetes; Sordariales; Podosporaceae
Source: the annotation of a GenBank genome assembly
GCCCGCAUGGCUCAGUGGUAGAGCGUGUCACUAGUAUUAUGCUAUGACAAGGUCGUCAGUUCGAUUCUGGCUGUGGGCA